This is a long non-coding RNA of Fundulus heteroclitus (mummichog), 1089 nucleotides long. RefSeq lists it as uncharacterized. Lineage: Eukaryota; Metazoa; Chordata; Actinopteri; Cyprinodontiformes; Fundulidae. The record is from RefSeq and is a predicted model, not a curated record. The transcript has 3 exons.
GGGAGGAGGAGGAGCAGAGGGAGACGCUCCAGUCUGGCCUGGAGGUGAGGAGCUGCCUGCUUUCAGGUGGUUUGUGUUGCAGAGCGGCAGGUGAGUGGGAGAGCAGCAGGAGGAGACCGUGGAUCUGGGAGUUUGUCCACCAGGAGGACCAGGAUGGGGUCAGGAAUCUGAGGAACCAUCAGGUGGGACUUCUUCUUGGCUCUUUGGCUCUGGAAAUUAGAAAGAUGCUUUGAAGAAGGCUUCCUGCCACCAAACCAGCACCACGACCAUCAGGUGCAUGAAUGCAUGCAGGUGUGACUGCAGAACAACAUCUGCAACUCAAACACCUCAAGCACACUAAAACCUGACAGUUCUAACAUUUUUAACAGUUUUUUUGUUUUUCAUGCUAGGAGGGCCUCAUGGUGCCUGAUUAAAACCAACACGCUUCACUCUUGACGACUUCCUGCAGAAACACAUCUGUGUGGGAUUUCUGAGCUUUUUGUAGCCGAUCUGCAGGCGGCCAAUCAGCAGACAGAACGGGACGCAACACGUCGUGUGGUGUUCACCUGGCAGGCAGAUUACAACCAGAAGGCUUGAAAAGAAACGCCACAGUGUGUGUCUGGAGUGAAGGAAUAUAUUUCCUCCUGUUUCUCAGAGGCAGCAGCCUUUUCAGCUCUGAAACCUUCUUUACAACACCAGGGGUGCUGGUGCAGAGGAUGUCAGCCCUGAUCAGGAAACAUCUGCUCUGCACCGCCUCAUGGCAGCAGCACUCAUUCACUGUUUUCCUGUGAGACUUCGUCUGACAAGCCGACAGGAAGUACUGCAGAGCUGUGAAGUGGAAGGAAGAAAUUCAUCGUUUUAUUCACAUGUAAAAAUCUGAAAAGUGUGGUGGGCAUUUGUGUAUCAAUUCUUUUGAUGCAGUUUAAACCUUUCCUCCCCGACCCGUCUGCUGGGUCCCUGGUCUCCAUGAUGCUGGAUGUUCUCUAAUGUUCUCUGAAGAACCUUUAAGGCCAGAAACAGAACAUCUGCAUAUAUGCCGAGGUUAAACUAGGUAGUUUUAGUUUUUAGUUUUAUUGAAAGGAUCCCCAUUAGCUACAGCUAUGCUGCAGC